This 413-nucleotide ribosomal RNA is filed under the name uncultured eukaryote. Its description in RNAcentral is "bacterial SSU rRNA". It matches the Rfam family "Eukaryotic small subunit ribosomal RNA", at positions 592 to 1013 of the family's 1831-position model. The record is from RNAcentral.
CAAUAGCGUAUAUUAAAGUUGUCGCAGUUAAAAGCUCGUAGUUGGAGUUCAGAGUGAGCUCGUCCGGUCGGCCCUAUGGGUCAGAACUGGUUGACUCUCUCUUGUUUGUGGAUCCUGUCAGCAGUUAACUCUGUUGAUGUGGAGUCCACAUCGUUUACCUUGAAAAAUUAGAGUGUUCAAAGCAGGCGUUUGCUUGAAUAUAUUAGCAUGGAAUAAUGGAAUAGGACUCUGGUUCUAUUUUGUUGGUUUUGAGAACCAGAGUAAUGAUUAAUAGGGACAGUUGGGGGGUAUUCGUAUUUCGUUGUCAGAGGUGAAAUUCUUGGAUUUCCGAAAGACGAACUACUGCGAAAGCAUUUACCAAGGAUGUUUUCAUUAAUCAAGAACGAAAGUUAGGGGAUCGAAGAUGAUCAGAU